This 301-nucleotide ribosomal RNA is filed under the name uncultured bacterium. RNAcentral describes it as "partial 16S ribosomal RNA". It matches the Rfam family "Bacterial small subunit ribosomal RNA", at positions 509 to 808 of the family's 1533-position model. The record is from RNAcentral.
CAGUAGCCGCGGGAAUACGUAGGUCCCGAGCGUUGUCCGGAUUUAUCGGGCGUAAAGCGAGCGCAGGCGGUUUGAUAUGUCUGAAGUUAAAGGCUGUGGCUCAACCAUAGUUCGCUUUGGAAACUGUCAAACUUGAGUGCAGAAGGGGAGAGUGGAAUUCCAUGUGUAGCGGUGAAAUGCGUAGAUAUAUGGAGGAACACCGGUGGCGAAAGCGGCUCUCUGGUCUGUAACCGACGCUGAGGCUCGAAAGCGUGGGGAGCGUACAGGAUUAGAUACCCCGGUAGUCCCUGUCUCUUAUACC